UGGGGAAUAUUGCACAAUGGGCGAAAACCUGAUGCAGCAACGCCGCGUGAGUGAUGAAGGUCUUCGGAUUGUAAAGCUCUGUCUUUUGGGACGAUAAUGACGGUACCAAAGGAGGAAGCCACGGCUAACUACGUGCCAGCAGCCGCGGUAAUACGUAGGUGGCGAGCGUUGUCCGGAUUUACUGGGCGUAAAGGGUGCGUAGGCGGAUGUUUAAGUGAGAUGUGAAAUACCCGGGCUUAACUUGGGUGCUGCAUUUCAAACUGGAUAUCUAGAGUGCAGGAGAGGAGAAUGGAAUUCCUAGUGUAGCGGUGAAAUGCGUAGAGAUUAGGAAGAACACCAGUGGCGAAGGCGAUUCUCUGGACUGUAACUGACGCUGAGGCACGAAAGCGUGGGUAGCAAACAGGAUUAGAUACCCUGGUAGUCCACGCCGUAAACGAUGAGUACUAGGUGUAGGAGGUNUCGACCCCUUCUGUGCCGCAGUAAACACAUUAAGUACUCC
Molecule: ribosomal RNA, 499 nt
Filed under: uncultured bacterium
Lineage: Bacteria
Description: partial 16S ribosomal RNA
Rfam family: Bacterial small subunit ribosomal RNA
Source: RNAcentral